Myxocyprinus asiaticus (Chinese sucker) is the source of this 3345-nucleotide RNA transcript. It is a transcript of the gene named potassium voltage-gated channel subfamily B member 1-like, with no coding region annotated. The transcript has 3 exons. The record is from RefSeq and is a predicted model, not a curated record. Lineage: Eukaryota; Metazoa; Chordata; Actinopteri; Cypriniformes; Catostomidae.
ACCGUCAGUCCCAUGGACAAAUUCAUAGGAUAAUCUAUGCAUGAUUUCAACCAAACAAAAUGGAUAAACCAUCUGCAGGAAUGAGUAAAGUUGGCUCCCGGUCAACAACCUCUCUUCCCCCGGAGCCUGUGGAUAUAAUCCGGAGUAUGUCGUGCUACCGGCGUGUCAAGCUGAACAUUGGGGGUCUGCCGCAUGAGGUCCUGUGGAGAACCUUGGACCGACUUCCGCGCACUCGACUGGGGAAGUUACGAGACUGCAAAACCCACGAAGCCCUCAUGGAUGUAUGCGAUGACUACAACCUGGAUGAGAAUGAGUACUUUUUUGACCGACAUCCCGGGGCGUUCACAUCCAUACUGAACUUCUAUCGCACGGGGAAGCUGCACAUGAUGGAGGAAAUGUGCGCUCUGUCCUUCAGCCAGGAACUGGACUACUGGGGGGUGGAUGAGAUCUACUUGGAAUCGUGUUGCCAGGCACGGUACCACCAAAAGAAAGAACAAAUGAAUGAGGAGCUCAAACGAGAAGCCGAUACGCUGAAGGACUGUGAGGGUGAAGAGUUCGACAAUACGUGUUGUUCAGAGAAACGGAAGAAACUCUGGGACCUACUCGAGAAGCCGGGCUCAUCCGUAGCAGCCAAGAUUUUGGCCAUCAUCUCUAUCUUAUUCAUUGUGCUCUCCACUAUCGCUUUGUCCCUUAACACCCUCCCGGAACUGCAAGACACAGACGAGUUUGGUCAGACUACCGAUAAUCCCCAGCUGGCUCAUGUGGAGGCCGUGUGCAUCGCUUGGUUCACCAUGGAGUACCUUCUUCGCUUUCUUUCCUCACCAAACAAAUGGAAAUUUUUCAAAGGUCCCCUGAAUGUCAUCGACCUGCUGGCCAUCCUACCAUAUUAUGUCACAAUAUUCUUGACAGAGUCCAACAAGAGCGUCUUGCAGUUUCAGAAUGUACGGCGGGUGGUACAAAUCUUUCGAAUAAUGCGAAUUUUGCGUAUCCUCAAACUGGCACGUCACUCUACUGGGUUGCAGUCACUGGGGUUUACACUGCGACGAAGUUACAACGAGCUGGGCCUGCUUAUACUCUUCUUAGCCAUGGGCAUCAUGAUCUUUUCCAGCCUAGUUUUCUUUGCAGAGAAGGACGAGGAUGAUACCAAGUUCAAGAGCAUCCCUGCCUCCUUCUGGUGGGCCACUAUUACCAUGACCACUGUGGGAUAUGGGGACAUUUACCCCAAGACACUUCUGGGGAAGAUUGUUGGUGGCCUCUGCUGUAUAGCAGGAGUGUUAGUCAUUGCUCUGCCCAUUCCCAUCAUCGUCAACAAUUUCUCAGAAUUCUACAAGGAACAAAAAAGACAAGAGAAGGCCAUCAAGAGACGUGAGGCUCUUGAGCGAGCCAAACGCAAUGGCAGUAUAGUGUCCAUGAAUGUUAGAGAAGCAUUUUCACGUGGUGCAGAGCUUUUGGAUGUGGUGGUCAUGGAUAAGAGUGAAAGAACCCAGGACAACCAUCUCUCACCCAGUCGGUGGAAGUGGUCAUCUAAGCAGGCAGCAUCUGAGACCAGUUCAAAUCAUUCCUUUAAUCCAGACCAAGGUUCCCCGAGCAAGGCAAGGGCCUCUAGUCCACAGAGGCUUAAUGCACAGAAACUGGAAGAAAUGUACAACCAGAUGGCUAAGACUCAGUCACAGCCCAACCUGAACACCAAAGACAGAAGCUCAUCUCAAGCAGGACAUAGAAGGAAUGAGAUUGAGCUAGAAGCCUUGCCAGGUCAAGAUGGUGACCCACUAAAUGGGGGUCGCGAAGGGGUGGUAGACAUGAAAAGUCUGUCCAGCUUCGACAGUUAUAUCAGCUGUGCAACAGAUUUUCAAGAGAACCCACGAUUCCCCUACAAUCCCACAGGGGGCUUGUCCCUCCCAGAGGGCUCUCGGUUCUCCCACAGCCCUGGUUCAGGCCUCUCUAGUCGGGUCAGUGUGAACCCAAGCCUGCAGACCACCAUGGAGCAUGAGACCAUGCUUACAUCACCUUGUUCUGGUGCUAAACUUCUUAACACUGAUGGUUCACGAAAACCAGGUCUGCUUGGAAGCUCUCAGAAAGUGCAUUUGGUUAGGGUGAAUCAUCGCAGUUUUGGUGAGACCUGCCCAUCGGGCGGUCCUCUAUCCGACAACUCUCUUCUCUCCGAUAACUCCAUCCUAAGUCCAGAGGUGUCGGUCUACACAACAGCCAGCAGCAGGACUCCACCAAAGACACCUGAAAGGAAGGCAUUCACCCCUGCGGUCUUCACUUUCUAUGAUGCAUCUAUUAGUAAGUACAUUGAUGCCGACACGGAUGACGAGGAGCACUUGCGUGAGGGUGGUCAGUCAGAGCGUCUGCUGGGUUGCCUGAGCUCCAAGCCUCAUCUCGGUGGUUACCAGGGGGGCAACAACCAUUUGGAAGCUGCCCAGAGGCUGCUAGGUCAGAACUGCCUAUUCCCAUUGGGAAGUAGCCCAAGUGUUGGUCACGAGAACCACGUGGCUUCAGAGAACUUGCAGAGGCCCAAAGGGGACAGGGGAAAUUCCAAUACAUUUGAUAAGGGCCUCUGAGGCCUUAGAGUUGUGAAAAACUCUGAAAGGAGUCCAAGAAGGAAUAGAAGGCCAAGGACAUUGGAGAAAGCGGAGACUAAUGUACAAUGGAGAAUCAUUAUACAAGGGGGCAUACCCUGGUGACUUUAUGUGGGGAGCGAGAAGAUGAUCAGGAAAACUCGGCCUCUAGUGAGUCUUGGGAGAGUGUAUGCUUCCAUCCCUGUCUCAGCAAUUUAGCUGAGUUGAACUGAAGUGUGAACGGAAUACCAAUUUCUGCAAGAGCCAGUGAGAAAGGCGUGUAUGGGAGGCAGACAGAAAAAAAUAGAAGAGAGAGGGCUCUUCUUCUCUCUGCUCAAUAUGGAAUAAUUUAUGAUUGCCAUGAUGUGUACCCUUACAUUAAUAGAGCGAGAUGAAACUGCUUUCAGAGAGUUAAAGUCCCUUGCUCUGGUUGUAGUCUUGUAUGUGGAUUUUAUAAUGUCCAUGAACUUUCGAUUGUGGGAUUCUCAUUUAAUACUCUAUUUAUUGCUUAGAUUUAAAUGGAGAGAACAUAAUUACUGAAAUGUUACUUUACUGAAGCCAUUCAAAACUCUCUCUUUCGUGUAUCUGUUUGGCUGUGGGGCCCUGAGACACUGGUUUCUUGUGAUGAUCCAUGGGUGAAUCUCAUGCCCAGGUAAUAUUUCAUUAUAAAUUUAAAAUAUACUGUAUAUAUAUAUAUAUAUAUAUAUAUAAUAUUAUAUUAUAUUUUGCAUAAGGAAAACAAAGCCUGUAUUAGGACCUUUAAGAGAUUUUGUCUUAUGGCAUC